CUGCCUGCUGAAUCCAUGAGCAGGCAAGAGACAACCUGGCGAACUGAAACAUCUUAGUAGCCAGAGGAAAAGAAAGCAAAAGCGAUUCCCGUAGUAGCGGCGAGCGAAAUGGGAGCAGCCUAAACCGUGAAAACGCGGUUGUGGGAGAGCAAUACAAGCGUUGUGCUGCUAGGCGAAGCGGUUGAGUGCCGCACCCUAGAUGGCUAAAGUCCAGUAGCCGAAAGCAUCACUAGCUUAUGCUCUGACCCGAGUAGCAUGGGGCACGUGGAAUCCCGUGUGAAUCAG
Hordeum vulgare subsp. vulgare (domesticated barley) is the source of this 285-nucleotide non-coding RNA. NCBI's taxonomy places the organism in Eukaryota, Viridiplantae, Streptophyta, Magnoliopsida, Poales, Poaceae. The record is from Rfam.